RNAcentral lists this ribosomal RNA (220 nucleotides) under uncultured bacterium. RNAcentral's name for it is "partial 16S ribosomal RNA". It matches the Rfam family "Bacterial small subunit ribosomal RNA", at positions 57 to 305 of the family's 1533-position model. The record is from RNAcentral.
GCAAGUCGAGCGCUACCUUUGGGUGGAGCGGCGGACGGGUUAGUAACGCGUGGGAAUAUACCCUUCUCUACGGAAUAGCCUCGGGAAACUGAGAGUAAUACCGUAUACGCCCUUCGGGGGAAAGAUUUAUCGGGAAAGGAUUGGCCCGCGUUAGAUUAGAUAGUUGGUGGGGUAACGGCCUACCAAGUCUACGAUCUAUAGCUGGUUUUAGAGGACGAUC